AGCAGCCGCGGUAAUUCCAGCUCCAAUAGCGUAUAUUAAAGUUGUUGCAGUUAAAAAGCUCGUAGUUGAAUUUCGGGACCAAUUUGUUGGUCGUGCCUCGGUACGUACUGGUAUUAUUGGUUUCUCCCUUCUGAAGAACCUCGAUGCCAUUAAUUUGGUGUCGUGGGGAAUCAGGACUGUUACUUUGAAAAAAUUAGAGUGUUUAAAGCAGGCUAACGCUUGAAUACAUUAGCAUGGAAUAAUGAAAUAGGACGUUCGAUCUUAUUUUGUUGGUUUCUAAGAUUGACGUAAUGAUUAAUAGGGAUAGUUGGGGGCAUUAGUAUUCAAUUGUCAGAGGUGAAAUUCUUGGAUUUAUUGAAGACUAACUACUGCGAAAGCAUUUGCCAAGGAUGUUUUCAUUAAUCAAGAACGAAAGUUAGGGGAUCGAAGACGAUCAGAUACCGUCGUAGUCUUAACCAUAAACUAUGCCGACUAGGGAUCGGAUGAUGUUAAUUUUUUAAUGACUCAUUCGGCGCCUUACG
This 521-nucleotide ribosomal RNA is filed under the name uncultured Glomus. RNAcentral describes it as "SSU rRNA". It matches the Rfam family "Eukaryotic small subunit ribosomal RNA", at positions 569 to 1092 of the family's 1831-position model. The record is from RNAcentral. Lineage: Eukaryota; Fungi; Glomeromycota; Glomeromycetes; Glomerales; Glomeraceae.